UACGUAGGUGGCAAGCGUUGUCCGGAAUUAUUGGGCGUAAAGCGCGCGCAGGCGGUCCUUUAAGUCUGAUGUGAAAGCCCACGGCUCAACCGUGGAGGGUCAUUGGAAACUGGGGGACUUGAGUGCAGGAGAGAAGAGUGGAAUUCCACGUGUAGCAGUGAAAUGCGUAGAGAUGCGGAGGAACACCGAUGGCGAAGGCAGCCCCCUGGGUCGACACUGACGCUCAGGCACGAAAGCGUGGGGAGCAAACAGG
Molecule: ribosomal RNA, 253 nt
Filed under: uncultured bacterium
Lineage: Bacteria
Description: partial 16S ribosomal RNA
Rfam family: Bacterial small subunit ribosomal RNA
Source: RNAcentral